Long non-coding RNA from Lytechinus variegatus (green sea urchin), 372 nucleotides. RefSeq lists it as uncharacterized. The transcript has 3 exons. Lineage: Eukaryota; Metazoa; Echinodermata; Echinoidea; Temnopleuroida; Toxopneustidae. The record is from RefSeq and is a predicted model, not a curated record.
GAACCUUCGAAAUAAAGAACCUUUGGAAUUAUGAACCUUCGGAAUUACGAAGUGUAACCCAUCGACUAUUUCAUCUUUAUGUCACUGGGCAUGCUGGAUGCUCAAUACAUGUAGUUCGAAAGCUCACAGAAAUCAUAGCUCAUUGAAACUACCAACCCAGCCGCCGCAGUCUCUCUAAAGGUGGUGGUGUGUAGUAUCGGAGUAAUUGAUACAUGUAGGUCUUUCUCAAACGUUCAGAGGAUCAAAAACCACUUCACGGAUUUGGAGGAGAGGAGCAAUCAACUAUCUUUGUAAAUUUCGACUUAAGAGAGCAUAAGAGACCAUAAACACUUAUGGCAGGUAAAGUGCACUGUGUUUUGUCAGCUUUAAAAG